AGAUCAAGCGUCUGAAGGGCAUCUGGUGGAUGCCUUGGCACUGAGAGGCGAUGAAGGACGUAGCACGUUGCGAUAAGCUUCGGGGAGCCGCGAGCAGGCUUUGAUCCGGAGAUUUCCGAAUGGGGCAACCCACCGCAUCUGCGGUAUCCCACGCUGAAUCCAUAGGCGUGGGAGGCGAACCCGGCGAACUGAAACAUCUAAGUAGCCGGAGGAAAGGACAUCAACCGAGACUCCGCUAGUAGUGGCGAGCGAACGCGGACCAGGCCAGUCAUUCGACCUACAUAACCGGAACCGUCUGGAAAGUCGGGCCAGAGCGGGUGAUAGCCCCGUACGGGUCAACCGGGUCGGAUGCACGAGUAGGGCGGGGCACGUGAAACCCUGUCUGAACAUGGGGGGACCACCCUCCAAGCCUAAGUACUCCUCAGUGACCGAUAGUGCACCAGUACCGUGAGGGAAAGGUGAAAAGCACCCCGACGAGGGGAGUGAAACAGUUCCUGAAACCGGAUGCCUACAAGCAGUCGGAGCCUCUUCAUGGGGUGACGGCGUACCUUUUGUAUAAUGGGUCAGCGACUUAGAGUAUGCAGCGAGCUUAAGCCGGUAGGUGAAGGCGCAGCGAAAGCGAGUCUGAAUAGGGCGACUUGAGUUGCAUGCUUUAGACCCGAAACCUGAUGAUCUAGCCAUGGACAGGUUGAAGGUGCGGUAACACGCACUGGAGGACCGAACCCACGCCUGUUGAAAAAGUCGGGGAUGAUCUGUGGCUAGGGGUGAAAGGCCAAUCAAAUCAGGAAAUAGCUGGUUCUCCGCGAAAGCUAUUUAGGUAGCGCGUCGGAUAUUGCCGCGGGGGGUAGAGCACUGGAUGGGCUAGGGGGGCGCGAGCCUUACCAAACCUAACCAAACUCCGAAUACCCGCGAGCACAGUCCGGCAGACAGACGGUGGGUGCUAAGGUCCAUCGUCGAGAGGGAAACAGCCCAGACCGCCAGCUAAGGUCCCCAAAUCACGGCUAAGUGGGAAAGGAUGUGGGAAGGCCAUGACAACCAGGAGGUUGGCUUAGAAGCAGCCAUCCUUUAAAGAAAGCGUAAUAGCUCACUGGUCUAGUUAAGCCGGCCUGCGCCGAAAAUGUAACGGGGCUCAAGCCGUGUACCGAAGCUGCGGAUGUGAUCGUCAGAUCACGUGGUAGCGGAGCGUUCCGUAAGCCUGCGAAGGGUGUCCGUGAGGCCGCCUGGAGGUAUCGGAAGUGAGAAUGCUGACAUGAGUAGCGACAAAGAGUGUGAGAAACACUCUCGCCGAAAGUCCAAGGGUUCCUGCGCAAGGUUAAUCCACGCAGGGUGAGCCGGCCCCUAAGGCGAGGCCGAAAGGCGUAGUCGAUGGGAACCAGGUUAAUAGUCCUGGGCCUGGCGGAGGUGACGGAUGGGAAAGCGUGUACGCCCUUAUCGGAUUGGGCGUGCUGUGGACCCGUCCCAGGAAACAGCCCCGCCGUACAGACCGUACCCGAAACCGACACAGGUGGACUGGUAGAGCAUACCCAGGCGCUUGAGAGAAUGGUGUUGAAGGAACUCGGCAAAUUGCCCUCGUAACUUCGGAAGAAGAGGGCCCCAUGGGUGGGCAACCACCUGUGGGGGCACAGACCAGGGGGUGGCGACUGUUUACUAAAAACACAGGGCUCUGCGAAGCCACACAAGGCGACGUAUAGGGUCUGACGCCUGCCCGGUGCCGGAAGGUUAAGAGGAGAGGUGCAAGCCUUGAAUUGAAGCCCCGGUAAACGGCGGCCGUAACUAUAACGGUCCUAAGGUAGCGAAAUUCCUUGUCGGGUAAGUUCCGACCUGCACGAAUGGCGUAACGACUUCCCCGCUGUCUCCAACACCAACUCAGCGAAAUUGAACUCUCCGUGAAGAUGCGGAGUACCCGCGGUCAGACGGAAAGACCCCGUGCACCUUUACUACAGCUUUGCAGUGGUGCUAGGGAUCUCAUGUGUAGGAUAGGUGGGAGGCUAGGAAGCCCGGGCGCCAGCUCGGGUGGAGCCACCCUUGAAAUACCACCCUUGAGGUCUCUGGCAUCUAACCGCGCUCCGUGAUCCGGAGCCGGGACCCUGCAUGGCGGGUAGUUUGACUGGGGCGGUCGCCUCCCAAAGAGUAACGGAGGCGCGCGAUGGUGGGCUCAGAGCGGUCGGAAAUCGCUCGUCGAGUGCAAUGGCAUAAGCCCGCCUGACUGCAAGACCGACAAGUCGAGCAGAGACGAAAGUCGGCCAUAGUGAUCCGGUGGUUCCACGUGGACGGGCCAUCGCUCAACGGAUAAAAGGUACGCCGGGGAUAACAGGCUGAUGACGCCCAAGAGUCCAUAUCGACGGCGUCGUUUGGCACCUCGAUGUCGGCUCAUCACAUCCUGGGGCUGGAGCAGGUCCCAAGGGUUCGGCUGUUCGCCGAUUAAAGUGGUACGUGAGCUGGGUUUAGAACGUCGUGAGACAGUUCGGUCCCUAUCUGCCGUGGGUGUCGGAGUUUUGCGAGGAUCUGUCCCUAGUACGAGAGGACCGGGAUGGACGCACCUCUGGUGUACCGGUUGUCACGCCAGUGGCACAGCCGGGUAGCUAAGUGCGGACGGGAUAACCGCUGAAAGCAUCUAAGCGGGAAACCCACCUCUAAACCAGACCUCCCCACAAGAGCCGUGAUAGACCAUCACGUCGAUAGGAGGCGUGUGGAAGGGUGGCAACACCUGAAGCUAAGCCUUACUAAUCGCUCGAGCGGCUUGAUUUC
This 2748-nucleotide ribosomal RNA is filed under the name Azospirillum thermophilum. RNAcentral describes it as "bacterial LSU rRNA". It matches the Rfam family "Bacterial large subunit ribosomal RNA". The record is from RNAcentral. Lineage: Bacteria; Pseudomonadati; Pseudomonadota; Alphaproteobacteria; Rhodospirillales; Azospirillaceae.